Neolamprologus brichardi is the source of this 276-nucleotide non-coding RNA. The record is from RefSeq and is a predicted model, not a curated record. NCBI's taxonomy places the organism in Eukaryota, Metazoa, Chordata, Actinopteri, Cichliformes, Cichlidae.
UUUCUCUUUGCAAUUCAUUUCUUACAGUUAAGGAUAAAGUUAAGAAAUUUGAGGAAAAGCAACUGGCAGAAAAAAACAAAGAUGGACCUCGUGUGGUCACAAGAAAUCCUUCUUUUUUAAACGAUAAAGGACAACUGGAUAAGAAAGUCAAGAGUGGUCAAUUGGAAGAACAUACCGAGGCCACACAGCCUGAUCUGCAAACACAGAUUCCUUCUAAAGGACCAGAGUCAGAGAAAAUGGAGGAUGAAGAAGCAAAGUUUGCUGAUGAAAGUUCGA